GACGAACGCUGGCGGCGUGCUUAACACAUGCAAGUCGUACGGUAAGGCCCUUUCGGGGGUACACGAGUGGCGAACGGGUGAGUAACACGUGAGUAACCUGCCCACAACUUUGGGAUAACGCUAGGAAACUGGUGCUAAUACUGGAUAUGUGCCCCUGCUGCAUGGUGGGGGUUGGAAAGCUCCGGCGGUUGUGGGUGGACUCGCGGCCUAUCAGCUUGUUGGUGGGGUAGUGGCCUACCAAGGCGGCGACGGGUAGCUGGCCUGAGAGGGUGACCGGCCACAUUGGGACUGAGAUACGGCCCAGACGCCGACGGGAGGAAGAAGGGGGGAAGAGUGCACAAUGGGCGCAAGCCUGAUGCAGCAACGCCGCGGGCGGGAUGACGGCCUUCGGGUUGUAAACCGCGUUCAGCAGGGACGAAGCUUUUUGUGACGGUACCUGCAGAAGAAGCACCGGCUAACUACGUG
RNAcentral lists this ribosomal RNA (465 nucleotides) under uncultured bacterium. RNAcentral's name for it is "partial 16S ribosomal RNA". It matches the Rfam family "Bacterial small subunit ribosomal RNA", at positions 28 to 507 of the family's 1533-position model. The record is from RNAcentral.